GAAGGGGUCCAAAUGAAACCCUAUCUAGAGUCCGGCAAGAAAAAUAGUGAGAGAAAGGGGUUAGAGAGAACCUAGAGAGAGGAGGAAGAAUGAACGGCCGGAAGACUCACCGAAAACUACCUACUCCGGUCAAGAUCAUGAUGUAAGGAGCCCUUCUUGGAAGGGAAAAGAGAAUGUGGGUGGCCGGAGUCCCAUUUUCCAUCAAGAAAUCAGAAAAACCCACGAGGAACAACUCUAUACAGGAUCUUUGAAGAAGUUUGGCUGAAACUACAAUCCGAAGGCAGAAACCCAAGAAUCGUCCAAGAACGGUGAGCGAACUUCCGACGCUCUUAACUCGACCUGUAGUCAAGCAAAAAAAUUACAAAAAAUACUAGGACGUAGCCUGUGACACGAUCUAGAACUUUGCCGAAGAAAUCAUACCGAUCCGAUCUACGGAUUGAAAGAUAUGAAAAUCGGAAAAGGGGACUGUGUUACGGAUUUCAGAAGACAGAAGAAAAAGAAAAAAAAAAGAAAA
This is a long non-coding RNA of Cucurbita maxima (winter squash), 514 nucleotides long. RefSeq lists it as uncharacterized. NCBI's taxonomy places the organism in Eukaryota, Viridiplantae, Streptophyta, Magnoliopsida, Cucurbitales, Cucurbitaceae. The record is from RefSeq and is a predicted model, not a curated record. The transcript has 2 exons.